RNAcentral lists this ribosomal RNA (90 nucleotides) under Ailuropoda melanoleuca (giant panda). Lineage: Eukaryota; Metazoa; Chordata; Mammalia; Carnivora; Ursidae. The record is from RNAcentral.
GUCUAUGGCCAUACCACCCUGAACGCGCCCGAUCUCAUCUGAUCUCGGAAGCUAAGGAGGGUCAGGCCUGGUUAGUAUUUGGAUGGGAGA